CCUACGGGAGGCAGCAGUGGGGGAUAUUGGACAAUGGGCGAAAGCCUGAUCCAGCGACGCCGCGUGAGUGAAGAAGUAUUUCGGUAUGUAAAGCUCUAUCAGUCGGGAAGAAAGAAAUGACGGUACCUGAGUAAGAAGCCCCGGCUAACUACGUGCCAGCAGCCGCGGUAAUACGUAGGGGGCAAGCGUUAUCCGGAAUUCAUGGGUGUAAAGGGAGAGUAGACGGUAAUGCAAGUCUGGAGUGAAAGGCGAGGGCCCAACCCCCGGACUGCUCUUGAUACUGUGUAACUGGAGUGCGGGAGAGGCAGGCGGAAUGCCUGGUGUAGCGGUGAAAUGCGUAGAUAUUAGGAGGAACACCAGUGGCGAAGGCGGCCUGCUGGACUGUAACUGACGUUGAGGCUCGAAAGCGUGGGGAGCAAACAGGAUUAGAUACCCGAGUAGUC
Molecule: ribosomal RNA, 443 nt
Filed under: uncultured bacterium
Lineage: Bacteria
Description: partial 16S ribosomal RNA
Rfam family: Bacterial small subunit ribosomal RNA
Source: RNAcentral